GACGAACGCUGGCGGCGUGCUUAACACAUGCAAGUCGAACGGGAGAAUUUGAGAGCUUGCUCUUAGAGAAUCUAGUGGCACACGGGUGAGUAACACGUAGACAACCUGCCGACAGGAUGGGGACAACAUUCCGAAAGGAAUGCUAAUACCGAAUGAAGCGGAGGAGAAGCAUCCCUCCGCCGUGAAAGAUGGUCUCUGAAUAUGCUAUCACCUGUCGAUGGGUCUGCGUCUGAUUAGCUAGUUGGGUAGGUAACGGCUCACCAAGGCGACGAACGGGAGCCGGUCUUGGGAGGGUGACGGCCAACAUUGGACCGGAGCCCGGCCCCAGCCUCCUACGGGGGCAGCCGGGGGGGAACCUCCGGCAAGGGCGCAAGCCUGGCGGGACCACGCCGCGUGGGUUGAGGAGGGCUUCGGAUCGUUAAGCUCUGUUGACGGGGACGAACGUGCGAAGGGUGAAUAAGCCUUUGUAAUGACGGUACCUGACGAGGAAGCCACGGCUAACUACGUG
Molecule: ribosomal RNA, 508 nt
Filed under: uncultured bacterium
Lineage: Bacteria
Description: partial 16S ribosomal RNA
Rfam family: Bacterial small subunit ribosomal RNA
Source: RNAcentral